This is an RNA transcript of Plutella xylostella (diamondback moth), 504 nucleotides long. RefSeq lists it as uncharacterized. The record is from RefSeq and is a predicted model, not a curated record. Lineage: Eukaryota; Metazoa; Arthropoda; Insecta; Lepidoptera; Plutellidae.
AAAUCACUCAGUUCUUGACGCUGUCACAAGAAGAACACAAAUGAAAAUUGUCAAGUGAAAUCCAAAAUUCCACAGUUUUUUUAACAUGAUUCUCGUUUUCGUGAAAGAGCAAGUGUAGCGAGCCGCUAUGUGUACGGACCUGCUGAUCCUGGCCGGCUCCUUCCUGCUGUGUAUCUGCAUCACCAAGAAAUGUAACUUCAGGAAGCGCAACUACUGCGUGCCGCGGUCCAUGCGCACUGACCGCAGCCAGGUGCCGGUGACGGUGGCGCGCGCCGCCAGCCCCGCCGCCCGCACCCCCCGCGCCCCCCCCGGCGUCCGCGCCCGCGCCGCGACGCCUGCCACGAUCUGACCAGCGCAAAUACUCGUUUGGAUGUCACCCCCCCGAGCGCCCCCACCAUGACCGGCUGGAGCCUCCAGCAGUCACUUGUGUUCUCAAUUUUAUUAUUGAUCGUGUUAAUUUAAAUCUGAAAUAAAAAUAGUAUAAUGCUGUCUACAUAAUUAUUA